RNAcentral lists this ribosomal RNA (253 nucleotides) under uncultured bacterium. RNAcentral describes it as "partial 16S ribosomal RNA". It matches the Rfam family "Bacterial small subunit ribosomal RNA", at positions 524 to 776 of the family's 1533-position model. The record is from RNAcentral.
AACGUAGGAGGCAAGCGUUAUCCGGAUUUACUGGGCGUAAAGGGUGUGCAGGCUGCCCCUCAAGUGGUGUAUGAAAGGGCUCGGCUCAACCGGGCUAGGUUAUGCCAGACUGAGGGGCUAGAGAGCGAGAGCGGGACGUGGAAUUCCGGGUGUAGUGGUGAAAUGCGUAGAGAUCCGGAGGAACCCCAGAGGCGAAAGCGACACCCUAGCGUUAGCCUGACGCUCAUGUGCGAAAGCGUGGGGAGCGAACGGG